GACGAACGCUGGCGGCGUGCCUAAUACAUGCAAGUAGAACGCUGAAGGAGGAGCUUGCUUCUCUGGAUGAGUUGCGAACGGGUGAGUAACGCGUAGGUAACCUGCCUGGUAGCGGGGGAUAACUAUUGGAAACGAUAGCUAAUACCGCAUAAGAGUAGAUGUUGCAUGACAUUUGCUUAAAAGGUGCAAUUGCAUCACUACCAGAUGGACCUGCGUUGUAUUAGCUAGUUGGUGGGGUAACGGCUCACCAAGGCGACGAUACAUAGCCGACCUGAGAGGGUGAUCGGCCACACUGGGACUGAGACACGGCCCAGACUCCUACGGGAGGCAGCAGUAGGGAAUCUUCGGCAAUGGACGGAAGUCUGACCGAGCAACGCCGCGUGAGUGAAGAAGGUUGUCGGAUCGUAAAGCUCUGUUGUAAGAGAAGAACGAGUGUGAGAGUGGAAAGUUCACAAUGUGACGGUAUCUUACCAGAAAGGGACGGCUAACUACGUG
RNAcentral lists this ribosomal RNA (495 nucleotides) under uncultured bacterium. Its description in RNAcentral is "partial 16S ribosomal RNA". It matches the Rfam family "Bacterial small subunit ribosomal RNA", at positions 28 to 507 of the family's 1533-position model. The record is from RNAcentral.